AGAGUUUGAUCAUGGCUCAGAUUGAACGCUGGCGGCAGGCCUAACACAUGCAAGUCGAACGGUAACAGAAAGCAGCUUGCUGCUUUGCUGACGAGUGGCGGACGGGUGAGUAAUGUCUGGGAAACUGCCCGAUGGAGGGGGAUAACUACUGGAAACGGUAGCUAAUACCGCAUAACGUCGCAAGACCAAAGAGGGGGACCUUAGGGCCUCUUGCCAUCGGAUGUGCCCAGAUGGGAUUAGCUAGUAGGUGGGGUAAAGGCUCACCUAGGCGACGAUCCCUAGCUGGUCUGAGAGGAUGACCAGCCACACUGGAACUGAGACACGGUCCAGACUCCUACGGGAGGCAGCAGUGGGGAAUAUUGCACAAUGGGCGCAAGCCUGAUGCAGCCAUGCCGCGUGUAUGAAGAAGGCCUUCGGGUUGUAAAGUACUUUCAGCGGGGAGGAAGGGAGUAAAGUUAAUACCUUUGCUCAUUGACGUUACCCGCAGAAGAAGCACCGGCUAACUCCGUGCCAGCAGCCGCGGUAAUACGGAGGGUGCAAGCGUUAAUCGGAAUUACUGGGCGUAAAGCGCACGCAGGCGGUUUGUUAAGUCAGAUGUGAAAUCCCCGGGCUCAACCUGGGAACUGCAUCUGAUACUGGCAAGCUUGAGUCUCGUAGAGGGGGGUAGAAUUCCAGGUGUAGCGGUGAAAUGCGUAGAGAUCUGGAGGAAUACCGGUGGCGAAGGCGGCCCCCUGGACGAAGACUGACGCUCAGGUGCGAAAGCGUGGGGAGCAAACAGGAUUAGAUACCCUGGUAGUCCACGCCGUAAACGAUGUCGACUUGGAGGUUGUGCCCUUGAGGCGUGGCUUCCGGAGCUAACGCGUUAAGUCGACCGCCUGGGGAGUACGGCCGCAAGGUUAAAACUCAAAUGAAUUGACGGGGGCCCGCACAAGCGGUGGAGCAUGUGGUUUAAUUCGAUGCAACGCGAAGAACCUUACCUGGUCUUGACAUCCACGGAAGUUUUCAGAGAUGAGAAUGUGCCUUCGGGAACCGUGAGACAGGUGCUGCAUGGCUGUCGUCAGCUCGUGUUGUGAAAUGUUGGGUUAAGUCCCGCAACGAGCGCAACCCUUAUCCUUUGUUGCCAGCGGUCCGGCCGGGAACUCAAAGGAGACUGCCAGUGAUAAACUGGAGGAAGGUGGGGAUGACGUCAAGUCAUCAUGGCCCUUACGACCAGGGCUACACACGUGCUACAAUGGCGCAUACAAAGAGAAGCGACCUCGCGAGAGCAAGCGGACCUCAUAAAGUGCGUCGUAGUCCGGAUUGGAGUCUGCAACUCGACUCCAUGAAGUCGGAAUCGCUAGUAAUCGUGGAUCAGAAUGCCACGGUGAAUACGUUCCCGGGCCUUGUACACACCGCCCGUCACACCAUGGGAGUGGGUUGCAAAAGAAGUAGGUAGCUUAACCUUCGGGAGGGCGCUUACCACUUUGUGAUUCAUGACUGGGGUGAAGUCGUAACAAGGUAACCGUAGGGGAACCUGCGGUUGGAUCACCU
RNAcentral lists this ribosomal RNA (1530 nucleotides) under Escherichia coli. RNAcentral's name for it is "bacterial SSU rRNA". It matches the Rfam family "Bacterial small subunit ribosomal RNA". The record is from RNAcentral. Lineage: Bacteria; Pseudomonadati; Pseudomonadota; Gammaproteobacteria; Enterobacterales; Enterobacteriaceae. RNAcentral also lists the same sequence under 17 other names.